RNAcentral lists this ribosomal RNA (376 nucleotides) under uncultured bacterium. RNAcentral's name for it is "bacterial SSU rRNA". It matches the Rfam family "Bacterial small subunit ribosomal RNA", at positions 523 to 898 of the family's 1533-position model. The record is from RNAcentral.
AUACAGAGGGUGCGAGCGUUAAUCGGAUUUACUGGGCGUAAAGCGUGCGUAGGCGGCUUUUUAAGUCGGAUGUGAAAUCCCUGAGCUUAACUUAGGAAUUGCAUUCGAUACUGGGAAGCUAGAGUAUGGGAGAGGAUGGUAGAAUUCCAGGUGUAGCGGUGAAAUGCGUAGAGAUCUGGAGGAAUACCGAUGGCGAAGGCAGCCAUCUGGCCUAAUACUGACACUGAGGUACGAAAGCAUGGGGGGCAAACAGGCUUAGAUACCCUGGUAGUCCAUGCCGUAAACGAUGUCUACUAGCCGUUGGGGCCUUUGAGGCUUUAGUGGCGCAGCUAACGCGAUAAGUAGACCGCCUGGGGAGUACGGCCGCAAGGUUGAA